UGGGGAAUCUUCCACAAUGGACGCAAGUCUGAUGGAGCAACGCCGCGUGAGUGAAGAAGGCUUUCGGGUCGUAAAACUCUGUUAUUGAAGAAGAACGUGUGUGACAGUAACUGGUCAUGCAGUGACGGUAUUCAAUCAGAAAGUCACGGCUAACUACGUGCCAGCAGCCGCGGUAAUACGUAGGUGGCAAGCGUUGUCCGGAUUUAUUGGGCGUAAAGCGAGUGCAGGCGGUCUUUUAAGUCUGAUGUGAAAGCCUUCGGCUUAACCGAAGAAGGGCAUCGGAAACUG
RNAcentral lists this ribosomal RNA (288 nucleotides) under uncultured bacterium. RNAcentral's name for it is "partial 16S ribosomal RNA". It matches the Rfam family "Bacterial small subunit ribosomal RNA", at positions 355 to 635 of the family's 1533-position model. The record is from RNAcentral.